RNA transcript from Phyllopteryx taeniolatus (common seadragon), 4276 nucleotides. It is a transcript of the gene named riboflavin transporter 2, with no coding region annotated. The transcript is spliced from 7 exons. Lineage: Eukaryota; Metazoa; Chordata; Actinopteri; Syngnathiformes; Syngnathidae. The record is from RefSeq and is a predicted model, not a curated record.
GUUCAAAUGUGAGGGCUUUGUGAUAUCAAUAAUGAGGCCAAGACAAAGAAUUUCAUUUUGGAAUCAUGGCCAAAAAGUUCUACCUUGGUUAUAUCAGACCAUUAAAAAAAAUUCCUAAACAUAUUUGAUGAAUGGUCUGAAGAGAAGCAAAGUUGAAGUUUGGGGCCAUAAUUCCAAAAAGUAGGUUUGGCAUUUAAUUUAUAUCACAGAAAAAAAGCGUUUGACCAGGGAGGUGCAGACAUUUUAUAUCCACUGGAAGUGGCUCCUUCUUAAUAUGAAUUUUGAUUUCCAUAUUUUCAGACGUGAACAUUUAUUAACUUCAUAGGCUGCCAUUAUUUUAUUUGUAAAAGAAAAAAAAAUAUUGGCAUCAAAAUUUGAAUAUUCCUCCAUCACAAAUUGAUGACAGAAAAUAUGUCAAUUAUGGGGAUGCAUUUGUCAGAAUAAAAAAUGUAAUAAUAUAGCAUUAAAGAUAAUUGGUAUACUCUCUUUUUUUGUUUUUUCACACAAUUAAAUUAUGAUGCCAAUCUUAAAAGGUGUUUAUUAAUGGGCGGCCUUUAUUGCUACAAAAUAUAUCUAAUAUUGGCAAUUUAUGUUCUCACAGCGUCUGAUUAUCUGAGACACUUUUGUGCGAAUGAUAUAUUUGAAACAAUAUUUCCAGCAGCCGCUUAAAUUGGCGCGCCUACGCAACGGAAUGCGAUCCAUGUGGCUUUUGGCAAGACGACAAUGCUCACUUUUGAUGGACGCGCACAGAGCUGCCGCCUCGGGUCAGCUCAGCACCUCGUGCAGUUGUACCUCAUACAGUGUGUGUUACGAACCACAAGGAAGCAGAACUAAUGAACUCAACGAGGCCAGUCAAAAAAAAACGUUGUGGAAAACGGCAACGUGAUGCCCCCCCCCCCCCCCCGAAGGUGUCACACGGACCCGGUCUUUAAAACAAUGUGAUCAGCCCAAUCGGCGCACGUCACGGCUGGAUGAGCGUGAACGCGCACGUGCACGCCCAGUCUCGACGAGGACGUAAAACCGAUUAAAACAUCCCCACCUUUGGGCUUCAAUCAGUCAGUCCAAAACGUCCAUCCCGAGAACUUGACCGGACAAAGAAGUAAAUAUUAACCCACAAGACCGCUGUAGCGAAGUUGGCGUCAAGACUGCUGCAGAAACGAACCUGCGCCAUGUCUCUGCUCACCCACCUGCUGGCAUGCCUGUUCGGCAUGGGUUCCUGGGUGUCUAUCAACGGUCUGUGGGUAGAACUUCCCCUGAUCGUCCCCCGCAUUCCGGAGGGCUGGUACCUCCCGUCGUACCUCUCGGUUCUCAUCCAGAUGGCCAACGUAGGCCCGCUCUUCGUCACCCUGAUGCACCGUUUCCGACCGGGAGCCCUCAGCGAGACGGCGGUGGUUUACGUCAUCAUCGCCCUGGGUACGGUGGCCAGUUUCCUGUUGGGUUUCUUCUGGAAGGAGACUGUUGUCGUGGCGGGGGCGCCCCGCAGCGGGGCGUUGCUCGUCCUCACCUUCUUCCUUGCGGUCGUCGACUGCACCUCCUCGGUUACCUUCCUUCCCUUCAUGAUGCGCCUCAAGCCCCGGUACCUCACCACCUACUAUAUCGGCGAAGGCGUGAGCGGCCUCCUGCCCGCUGUGGUGGCGCUCGUCCAGGGCGUCGGCGCGGUUCAUUGCAACAACGGCACUACGAACCAAAACACCACCGACGGCUUUCCGACAUUUGAGGCUCAACACCAGCCUCCCAACUUCUCAGUUGAGGUGUUCUUCUUCUUCCUGAGCGCCAUGAUGCUGGUGUGCCUGCUGGCGUUCCUGCUGCUCAACCGUCACCCCGCCGUUGCCAGGGAGAAGACAAAAUGCCAGUACACCAACGGGGUCAAAGAGAAAAAUUGGGUGGAGAAGAAGCCCAUUGUGGAGCCAUCCAGACCCUCCAGACAGAAGAGCAGUUUUGGCCUUGGGACUUACAGCUGGAUGCAGUUGUUUUACAUCUUCGUGAUCCUGGCGUGGAGCAACGCGCUGACCAACGUGGCGCUACCGUCGGUGCAGUCGUACGCGUGCAUGCCGUACGGCAACAACGCUUACCACCUGUCUGCCGCCACGGCGGCUGUGUCCAACCCUCUGGCCUGCUUCGUCGCCAUGUUCUUCCCGAGAAGAUCCUUGUGGCUGAUGGGGGCGCUCACGUUUUUGGGCAGCGGCGUGGGAGCUUUCAUAAUGAGCAUGGCCGCCCUGAGUCCGUGUCCGCUGAUGGUGAACGACGUCUGGGGCGGCGUCGUCAUGGUGCUGGCGUGGAUCGUCUUCAUCCUCACCCUGUCCUACGUCAAGGUGAUCAUCGGCGUGAUCCUGCGCGACGAGGGUCACAGCGCCCUUGUGUGGUGCGGGGCGGUGGUGCAGCUGGGGUCCCUGCUGGGCGCCGUCACCAUGUUCCCGCUGGUCAGCGUGUACAGCCUUUUUGCGUCAGGCGACCCCUGCAACACCCGAUGUCCAUGAAGGAGCCAACAGCCGCAUAUGACAGGGAGUGCGCGACGGUGCGUGUAGAGGUAAAGCGCGGGGUGCACCACGCCGGCCACAGAGAGCAGGCCGAUGCACAGCGGCGUCACCGAGCACACGAAGAGGCCCGGCAUCCGGUCGAUGUGCAUCAUGACGGCCACGGGGAUGUAGCAGAGCAGCGCCACGCCGCCGGUGGUGGCCGCGGUGAAGAAGGCGCGCCUCUUGGCCCCGCAAGGCGCCGCGCCGCCCGGGACGGCCCUCAGCAGGGUGUUGGCCACCGCGCUGCUGCACCGGUACAACAGCACUAUCAUGAACAGCAUCAAGAAGAAGGGCACCUUCCUUUGGACGGGCCGGAUCCGCGAGGACCAGCCAUUGAGACUGCCCGCAAGGGCGGCGGGCACGGAGACGAGCCACACGCCGGCGGCGCCCAGCUCCCGGAAGCGGUAGCGCUCCGGGCGGGGAUAGGCGGUGGGGCGCACCACGGCAACGUAGCGCUCCAGGCAAACGAGGCACAGGCUCAUGGGCCCGCCGGUCUGCAUGUAGACCAGCAGGAAUUUCAGCAGGGGCUUCUGUAACCCCGGCCAGCUCAGCAUGACGCCCAGGUGGGUGGCGGACAGGGCGUAGUGACAGGUGUGGAAGAGCGCCAGGUUGAUGUUGAGAACGUCCAGGCGGGCGCACCGCGACGUGAAGCCGUGCCACAGCAGACACGCCGCCAACGGCGGUCCCACCAGCACGGUCCCGAUGUCGUUCACGUACAGGAAGGGCCAGAUGGGCGGGGUUCAGGUCGCACGUGGUGUUGGUGGUCCGCAUCGCACCGCCCACUGUUUGGACCCGCAGGUACCCCGCCGUACCCCGUGACGAGAUCGCUGUCAGAAAUUCAUGCAAGGUAAGAGAGGACCGCAUAUGCCAUCAGGCUUUUUCUGGAUGUUAGCACACCACGUGUGACGAGUGAAAUAUGUCAAAUAGUUUAUGAUCAAAUGAUGCAGAUUUUUCUUUGAUGAAUUGAAUUACAGUUAAUUGUUAAAGGAGUGGAGCAGCUCAGAGAGGUCAGGUUGAGCAAGAUCGAGAUUUAAAAUCAAUUGCAAGAAUCUUAAUCUUGGUGAAGGGAGGCCAGAAAGGGUUAGGCUUUGCUCCCUCCUACGUGCUCCAGUUGGGAUGUGAGCAGCAGCACUUUUGAGCCAUCCGGAGACGUUUGAGGUUGGGCUGGCUGACUCCAAAAGUGCUUCAAGGUCUUGCUUUCAAUACAAUGAAACAAAGCCCUCAUAGUGCAUCCACAUUGACAAGCCAAGCCGCACACUCCCGAAAUGUGUUUGUUUGUGUUGUGGUUUUCUUUCACCAACAACAAUUACAAUGUCAGAGCCCAUCAUACAUAAUGAAUCAUAUUAUACAUAAUCCAACUUUCAUGCUUACAUCCUUGUACUUUUUGUCCGACGGUGCUCUUCUUGCGUUUUAUGGACUUUUCCGGUUCUCAUAAAAUUGUGUCUCUUGUCGUCGUCUUCUUUGGUGUUACAAAGAAUUCUUUCGGUUGCUCCGUUUUAUGCUCUCGUCUCGCAAUUGCGUUUUCACACGCUGCCGGCAGCACAUGGACAACAUUUCAUGCAUUCAAUUCCCCAAGUAAAGAAUCUUACAUGUUUUUUUUUCGGUAUCUCCUUUCCCGUUGUAACUUUUUGAACAAGCAAAUUCUCACCAGGUGCUGAUGGAUGCUCGCUGCACAACUGUCCUCUUGGUGUCGCUGUUGUCACGCAUCUGCAUGAGUUCAGUUGUCUUCCAGCUGACCCUCUAUAAAAACAUUUAGCUGA